Paramormyrops kingsleyae is the source of this 808-nucleotide long non-coding RNA. RefSeq lists it as uncharacterized. The record is from RefSeq and is a predicted model, not a curated record. NCBI's taxonomy places the organism in Eukaryota, Metazoa, Chordata, Actinopteri, Osteoglossiformes, Mormyridae.
UUAUUAUUAUAUGAUAACUGCACUGUUACACUCAGCUGCUGUUUCUUGCGUUGGCGGCCUUCCCGUUUUAACGAGUCUGGCCAUCUGAUCUCUUCCAUCAACGAGGUGUUUUUAGCCACAGAAACGCCGCUGCCUGGACGGCUUCUGUUUUUUUGUUCUUCACACCAUUCGCUGCAAACUCGAGACACCGGAGUGUGUGAAAAUCCCAGGAAGGCGGCUGUUUCUCAGAUGCUGCAGGCGCUACGUCUGGCACCAAAGAUCGCACCACCUUCAAAACCGCUUAGAUCAGGCGUCUUAGAAGAGCAGCCUGACUCAUCAAGCGCAUCACAAACGCCUUAGUCUCCCGGGACUGAUUCAGCUGCAGUGAAUCGCUCCCCCUCGGCAAUGUCCACACCGGCGCGAUGGGGAGGGAACGCUGGCUAACAUGCUGAGCGGAGGGUGGAUACUGGCCAUGAGGAAACCCAAAGCGGACCUCCUGUGCACACAGAAGACCACCAGACACCACCACAAAGACAGCGUCGGAAUGAAGAGAAUGUGGGACUCUACUUAAGGAAAGAUGUGUCCUGAAACAUCUAAGAUACACAUAUGUACACUAUAUAAGAACAAAAUCAAUAAUAAUAACAAUAAUAAUAAAACAAUGUGUUUAUCAAAGGGGGUCUGAAUCUAUUUUUGUCCUCAUGAAGGGACAGAAGUACAUAUCAUAAUGGGAAAAAAUACACAUAUGGUGUUUCUGUUUGGUUUAAAUGUGUCAGAUUACUGUAGUUGGCCUUGUGUUUGAAAAGACAAAUAAAACCUUGGAAUGAGCUGA